Molecule: unclassified non-coding RNA, 248 nt
Filed under: uncultured fungus
Lineage: Eukaryota; Fungi
Description: sequence contains 5.8S rRNA gene
Rfam family: 5.8S ribosomal RNA (bases 1-53)
Source: RNAcentral
GAACGCACAUUGCGCCCCUUGGUAUUCCAUGGGGCAUGCCUGUUCGAGCGUCAUUUACACCCCCAAGCUCUGCUUGGUGUUGGGCGUCUGUCCCGCUUCGUGCGCGGACUCGCCCCAAAGGUAUUGGCAGCGGUCUUGCCAGCUUCUCGCGCAGCACAUUGCGUUUCUCGAAGCUCCGGCGGAUCGGCGUCCAUCAAGCCCACAUCACAGUUUGACCUCGGAUCAGGUAGGGAUACCCGCUGAACUUA